ACCGGGGCCGCACAAGCGGUGGAGCAUUGUUGGUUUAAUUACGAAGCAACGACGAAGAACCUUACCAGGUCUUGACAUCCCGAUGCUAUUUCUAGAGAUAGAAAGUUACUUCGGUACAUCGGUGACAGGUGGUGCAUGGUUGUCGUCAGCUCGUGUCGUGAGAUGUUGGGUUAAGUCCCGCAACGAGCGCAACCCCUAUUGUUAGUUGCCAUCAUUCAGUUGGGCACUCUAGCGAGACUGCCGGUAAUAAACCGGAGGAAGGUGGGGAUGACGUCAAAUCAUCAUGCCCCUUAUGACCUGGGCUACACACGUGCUACAAUGGUUGGUACAACGAGUUGCGAGUCGGUGACGGCGAGCUAAUCUCUUAAAGCCAAUCUCAGUUCGGAUUGUAGGCUGCAACUCGCCUACAUGAAGUCGGAAUCGCUAGUAAUCGCGGAUCAGCACGCCGCGGUGAAUACGUUCCCGGGCCUU
This 471-nucleotide ribosomal RNA is filed under the name uncultured Streptococcus sp. RNAcentral's name for it is "bacterial SSU rRNA". It matches the Rfam family "Bacterial small subunit ribosomal RNA", at positions 917 to 1381 of the family's 1533-position model. The record is from RNAcentral. Lineage: Bacteria; Bacillati; Bacillota; Bacilli; Lactobacillales; Streptococcaceae.